This 460-nucleotide ribosomal RNA is filed under the name uncultured bacterium. RNAcentral's name for it is "partial 16S ribosomal RNA". It matches the Rfam family "Bacterial small subunit ribosomal RNA", at positions 338 to 795 of the family's 1533-position model. The record is from RNAcentral.
CCUACGGGGGGCAGCAGUGAGGAAUAUUGGUCAAUGGACGAGAGUCUGAACCAGCCAAGUAGCGUGAAGGAUGACUGCCCUAUGGGUUGUAAACUUCUUUUAUAUGGGAAUAAAACGUUCCACGUGUGGGAUUUUGUAUGUACCAUAUGAAUAAGGAUCGGCUAACUCCGUGCCAGCAGCCGCGGUAAUACGGAGGAUCCGAGCGUUAUCCGGAUUUAUUGGGUUUAAAGGGAGCGUAGGUGGAUUGUUAAGUCAGUUGUGAAAGUUUGCGGCUCAACCGUAAAAUUGCAGUUGAAACUGGCAGUCUUGAGUACAGUAGAGGUGGGCGGAAUUCGUGGUGUAGCGGUGAAAUGCUUAGAUAUCACGAAGAACUCCGAUUGCGAAGGCAGUUCACUGGACUGCAACUGACACUGAGGCUCGAAAGUGUGGGUAUCAAACAGGAUUAGAUACCCGUGUAAUC